Molecule: ribosomal RNA, 497 nt
Filed under: uncultured bacterium
Lineage: Bacteria
Description: partial 16S ribosomal RNA
Rfam family: Bacterial small subunit ribosomal RNA
Source: RNAcentral
GAUGAACGCUGGCGGCGUGCCUAAUACAUGCAAGUCGAGCGAACAGACGAGGAGCUUGCUCCUCUGACGUUAGCGGCGGACGGGUGAGUAACACGUGGAUAACCUACCUAUAAGACUGGGAUAACUUCGGGAAACCGGAGCUAAUACCGGAUAAUAUAUUGAACCGCAUGGUUCAAUAGUGAAAGACGGUUUUGCUGUCACUUAUAGAUGGAUCCGAGCCGCAUUAGCUAGUUGGUAAGGUAACGGGUUACCAAGGCAACGAUGCGUAGCCGACCUGAGAGGGUGAUGGGCCACACUGGAACUGAGACACGGUCCAGACUCCUACGGGAGGCAGCAGUAGGGAAUCGUACGCAAUGGGCGAAAGCUUGGCGGAGCAAAGCCGCGUGGGUGAUGAAGGUCUUCGGAUCGUAAAACUCUGUUAUUAGGGAAGAACAAAUGUGUAAGUAACUAUGAACGUCUUGACGGUACCUAAUCAGAAAGCCACGGCUAACUACGUG